UGCCCAGCAACUCCUAUCCGUAUCUCCUCGUGGUACUGGCCGGGGUACGAGUAACCUUAGGGAAGAUCGGGUAACCAACCCCCGGUGGGAACUUUGGUCGUAUGCUGACAGGGAAGG
This 117-nucleotide ribozyme is filed under the name Aedes aegypti (yellow fever mosquito). RNAcentral describes it as "drz-agam-1 ribozyme". It matches the Rfam family "drz-agam-1 ribozyme". The record is from Rfam by way of RNAcentral. Lineage: Eukaryota; Metazoa; Arthropoda; Insecta; Diptera; Culicidae.